AACGAACGCUGGCGGCAGGCCUAACACAUGCAAGUCGAGCGAGCAUUUCGGUGCUAGCGGCGGACGGGUGAGUAACGCGUGGGAACGUGCCCUUUUCUGCGGAAUAGUCCUGGGAAACUGGGGGUAAUACCGCAUACGCCCUUUUGGGGAAAGAUUUAUCGGAGAAGGAUCGGCCCGCGUUGGAUUAGGUAGUUGGUGGGGUAAUGGCCCACCAAGCCGACGAUCCAUAGCUGGUUUGAGAGGAUGAUCAGCCACACUGGGACUGAGACACGGCCCAGACUCCUACGGGAGGCAGCAGUGGGGAAUCUUAGACAAUGGGGGCAACCCUGGUCUAGCCAUGCCGCGUGAGUGAUGAAGGCCUUAGGAUUGUAAAGCUCUUUCAGCUGGGAAGAUAAUGACGGUACCAGCAGAAGAAGCCCCGGCUAACUCCGUG
This 433-nucleotide ribosomal RNA is filed under the name uncultured bacterium. Its description in RNAcentral is "partial 16S ribosomal RNA". It matches the Rfam family "Bacterial small subunit ribosomal RNA", at positions 29 to 507 of the family's 1533-position model. The record is from RNAcentral.